AGAAAAACCGCACGUUCGAUAUAUUUGUUUUGGGUCCAAAGGAGAUUUUGAGACGUGACAUGAAUCUUCACCAUAAGUUUUGAUAUAAAAAAAAGUGUAUUAAUAGAUUUGGAUCCAACGAGAGAGUGAUGGGUUUUUAUGGUCUCCGUACGAACACAAUUUCCUUUUAAAGCGAACCAACCAAAAGAAAUCGCAUUUAUCAAAUCUUUGUUGUUUCUUCUUUCUCUCUUCUAACUUUCAAAAAAGUCAUCAACUUGUCAGAUUUCCAUCACCUAACCUCUCUCUCUAUCUCUCCACCCAUAACAACAA
Arabidopsis thaliana (thale cress) is the source of this 309-nucleotide long non-coding RNA. RefSeq annotates it as other RNA. The transcript has a single exon. The record is from RefSeq. Lineage: Eukaryota; Viridiplantae; Streptophyta; Magnoliopsida; Brassicales; Brassicaceae.